Molecule: ribosomal RNA, 408 nt
Filed under: Amblyomma maculatum (Gulf Coast tick)
Lineage: Eukaryota; Metazoa; Arthropoda; Arachnida; Ixodida; Ixodidae
Description: partial small subunit ribosomal RNA
Source: RNAcentral
AGUAUUUUGACUAUACAAAGGUAUUGAAAUAAGACUUUAAUUGAGUGCUAAGAGAAUGGAAUUUCAUAAAAUUUCUUUUUUAAUUUUAAAAAUUGAAAUUAAUUUUAUAUGUGAAGAAACAAUAAUAAAAAUUAAGGACAAGAAGACCCUAAGAAUUUUAAAAAUUUCAAUAAAAUUCAGCAUUUUAUUGAAAUUUUUUAAUUGGGGCGAUUAUUAAAUAUUAAAAACUUUAAUUUUUUUAAAAAAGAACCAAUAAUAUUGGUUAUUUGAAAAAAUACUCUAGGGAUAACAGCGUAAUAAUUUUUGAUAGUUCUUAUAGACAAAAUAGUUUGCGACCUCGAUGUUGGAUUAGGAUUCUUUUUUAAUGAAGAAGUUAAAAAAAGAAGUUUGUUCAACUUUUAAAAUCCU